Felis catus (domestic cat) is the source of this 2017-nucleotide long non-coding RNA. RefSeq lists it as uncharacterized. Lineage: Eukaryota; Metazoa; Chordata; Mammalia; Carnivora; Felidae. The record is from RefSeq and is a predicted model, not a curated record. The transcript has 3 exons.
GUGUGUGUGUGUGUGUGUGUAAGACCUGGGACCCUAGUGUGUGUGGGUUCGGGCAGAUAUGGGCAGGUGUAAUACACUUAAGGUAAGCCUAGGGGUAAGAAGCUGUCACUACCGUCUGCCUGGGGCCUGUGAGAAGGGUUGUGAGAGGGAGAAUAUUGCCACAGGGUCAUUGCCUGAAGAUCGAUAAAGUCUGGACCCCCCUGCACAAUGCAGGAGGUUAUCUGGCCUAUGCUGAUGUCUGUCACCCAUUUCCCCACUUCUAGAACCUGAUGUGCUCUAGACAUUUUGCUCUACUUUUCUUUUUUUCUUACUCUCUUUCUUGAUAGCCUUUUAAAGUCCGGAAUAACUCUAGGGUUACAGAAAAGUUGUAAAAAUAGUACAGCUUCUCCCUAAUGUUAACAUCUUAUGUUACCAUGGGAUGUUUGUCCAAACUAAGAAGUUAACACUGGUACAGUACUAUUAACUGAACAGAUUUUAUUCGUAUUUCAUCAGUUUUUCCACUCAUGUCCAUUUCCUGUUCCAGUAUCCAAUCCAAGAUCUCACAGUGAUUUAGUAUCUUGCAUUUCUUUUAAUUCUCUGAAUUCACUGGGCUCAUGCCGGCCUGUUUGCCUUGGAGCCUGCCAUUUUCUUUCUCACAGUAACUUUCCUGCUCACAGCAAAUUCUUAUUCAUCCUGCAGUAACCCUUUUUUUGAGUCAAAAAUAAUGUGGGGAACUUGGUAGGAGUGGGAUUUGGGUAUCUGGCCCUUCACAGUACUGAGUGGGGGAAAAUGCCAUUCCCCUUUCCACGCCCAGGAUCUCAUUUGACUCUCACUUGGGUUUUAUAUAUCCUUCUUUACACAAAUGCAAACAAAUACUAACGCAUAUUACUACUCAUUCCCCCUUCUCCCAGCCGUGGUUACUCAAGGUCCACAGGUGACUUUCAUAGGACAGCAUAGUUGGCCAGUGGCAGAGGGGGAACCUGAACCCAAGUCUCUGAGUUCCAGUUUCAUCGGCUGGCUGCCUGGAUCCUUCAUGCGUGGCCUGUCUCUGCUGUCCUCGGUUGUCCAAUCUGGAUUCGAUGACUAUUUAUCGACUGACCAUGUGCCUGAUACUCUGUUUACGCCAAGGAUGGAGAGGAGGCUGUUCAAAGAACCAGAGACAAAGCCACUGAAUCAGAGACAAAGACAAGGUGGAUGACGGAGUUUAAUUCAUUUUCAUUUUCACACGUGCGCAUCUCAGGCCACUGAGCAUCCAUUCACCCUUUGGGUAAAAAAGCACCUCACCUGCCCUUUAAGAACCUCCCCUUCCUUCCCCCCACCCCUGCUCCCCAUUCUGGCACUUAUACUUUGGGUGGGAUUGAUCCCACUCUAUGAGUCAGCCCGACUGGCCAAAACCAGUUUGUCUUCCAGGCUUGGGAGGGGCCUGGGCUCCAACCAGAGCCAAUGAGACUUUCUGGAAGAGAGGUGGGGGCUCCUCCCCCACAGGCUUGAAUCUGGAAGCGUGGACAUGGGAACCACUGUCUCCAUUUUUGCCAUCGGAGGUGGCCUGAGAAGACACCAGCUCAGGGAGCAGAUCAAAGACGAGCUGAGACAUGGAAAGAAACCAGGGUUUUGUGGUAGCGUAAACCUCACUCAGGCAACACCAGAAGAGGCUCAGCCCUUCUGCUGGACUUUUCAGUUCUGUGAGCUUGUAUUUGGUUUCUGCCUUUUUCUUUUUUUCUUUGGUCACUUGCCGCUGAGAGAGUCCUAGACGAAACAGCAGAUGUCAUCAAAUUGUGUCUUAGAUUCUAGUUUUUUAGAGACAGUGCUUCGUGGAAAGUGUAAUGGGAUUUGGUGAGAACAUCACAGUUCCCCACUUAGGCUAGCUCCUUCCAUCUCAGGUCUGUGUUUGUGAAACAGUGCCAGGAACGCCUGCCUAUUUUGAAGGAAAAGUAAGAAAAAGAAAAACUGUAAGGUGUUUUCAGAUUUUCAUUACUGUUAUUUUUAUGCGCUCCUUGUGGGUAGGAACUAGAGUGGUUUUUUUUUUGUUUUUGUUUUU